AUUGAACGCUGGCGGCAUGCUUUACACAUGCAAGUCGGACGAGUGGCGAACGGGUGAGUAACGCAUCGGAACGUACCGAGUAAUGGGGGAUAACUGUCCGAAAGGACAGCUAAUACCGCAUAUUAUUCGAGCGGCCGAUAUCUGAUUAGCUAGUUGGUGGGGUAAAGGCCUACCAAGGCGACGAUCAGUAGCGGGUCUGAGAGGAUGAUCCGCCACACUGGGACUGAGACACGGCCCAGACUCCUACGGGAGGCAGCAGUGGGGAAUUUUGGACAAGGGGCGCAAGCCUGAUCCAGCCAUGCCGCGUGUCUGAAGAAGGCCUUCGGGUUGUAAAGGACUUUUGUCAGGGAAGCGGUACCUGAAGAAUAAGCACCGGCUAACUCCGUGCCAGCAGCCGCGGUAAUUC
RNAcentral lists this ribosomal RNA (406 nucleotides) under uncultured bacterium. RNAcentral describes it as "partial 16S ribosomal RNA". It matches the Rfam family "Bacterial small subunit ribosomal RNA", at positions 30 to 526 of the family's 1533-position model. The record is from RNAcentral.